AGAGCGAACGCUGGCGGCGUACCUAACACAUGCAAGUCGAACGGGGAUCAUAGGGUUAGCAAUAACUCUGUGGUUCUAGUGGCGCACGGGUGAGUAACACGUGGGUAACCUGCCCUUGAGACUGGGAUACCCCCUCGAAAGGGGGGCUAAUACCGGAUACGUUCCUCGGAUCGAAAGGUCUGAGGAGGAAAGGUGGCGAAAGCUGCCGCUCUUGGAGGGGCUCGCGGCCUAUCAGCUAGUUGGCGGGUAACGGCCCACCAAGGCUAUGACGGGUAGCUGGUCUGAGAGGACGACCAGCCACACGGGGACUGAGACACGGCCCCGACUCCUACGGGAGGCAGCAGUGGGAAUUUCCGCAAUGGGCGAAAGCCUGACGGAGUGACGCCGCGUGUGGGACGAAGGCCUUCGGGUCGUAAACCACUGUCAGUGGAAAGAUGGUGUCGGCGCGAUAACCGCCGGCAUUUGACGGUACCUGCAGAGGAAGCCCCGGCUAACUCUGUGCCAGCAGCCGCGUAA
RNAcentral lists this ribosomal RNA (516 nucleotides) under uncultured soil bacterium. RNAcentral describes it as "bacterial SSU rRNA". It matches the Rfam family "Bacterial small subunit ribosomal RNA", at positions 26 to 522 of the family's 1533-position model. The record is from RNAcentral.